This 956-nucleotide unclassified non-coding RNA is filed under the name Hevea brasiliensis (rubber tree). Lineage: Eukaryota; Viridiplantae; Streptophyta; Magnoliopsida; Malpighiales; Euphorbiaceae. The record is from RNAcentral.
GAAUUAAAUUAAAGAACUAUUGAAGAAUUAAAGAAAAAGAAAAAGAAUAAAAAUGUGACUUAUUACAUUAUGAUGAUGACAUCAUAUAAGAUGUCAAAAUUAAUUUUAAUUUUUCAACCUUUUUGACCAAGUCAAAUAGCUAAAUAAUUACAAAAAAAAAAUAAAAGGAAAAGAAAAUAGGAUUAUGACAUCACCCAAAUGACAUCAUGCAUGACAUUAAAAAUAAAUUUUAUUUAAUUUAAUCUUUGACCAAGUCAAUUAUGUGGCAUAAAAACAAAAAUUCAAAAAGAUUUUUUUUACUUUUUCUUUUUCUUAUUCUCGUAGCUCUCUUCUCUCCCUCUUUUCUUAUUUUGUUCCACCAUUAAAGCUUAGAUUUAAGCUUCUUAAACUUUAGAUUUCACCCCCUAAUCUUUGAGAAUAAUUAUAGAAACCAUUAAAUUGACCCUCAAGAAGAAGAUUUGGAGCAAGAAAUUAAAAGAAUUUGAAGAUUUGAGGGAGAUUGAAAAAGCUUCAAUUAAGGUAAGUUUCCUCUUUUAAUUUGAAUUUGAAUUGAAUUUUUAGUAUGAAAUUGUGGUUAAACAAGAGUUUAAUUGCAUAAAAACAUGAAAAAAAUUUUCAUGUUGAGGGACUAAACUAAUUUUCGGCUAGCUUGGUUAUGAGGAUGAUUUGCAUGAAUUGAAUGGUUUGAAAGGGGUAUAUAAACCUUAGUUAGUUGAAUGACUAUGGUUAAAGGCGUGGAAUCAAGUAAAUGCAAAACUUAGUGUGAAUUAGGGUUUGGACAUUAGGGUUUAGGGACCAAAAAUGUGAAGAAGUGCUAAAUGAUGUCUUUGACAUAGUUUAAGGAAAGAAAUGGUCAUUUGUGACCUAAUUAAGUGUGUUAGAAGUGUUGGAAUUAAAGCCAAAUUCGGAGGAAGUGUGGUCAUGCUAUUUCUUUUGAGGGACCAAAAAUGAAAUUU